GACGAACGCUGGCGGCGUGCUUAACACAUGCCAGUCGAACGGAAAGGCCCUGCUUUUGUGGGGUGCUCGAGUGGCGAAAGGGUGAGUAACACGUGAGUAACCUGCCCUUGACUUUGGGAUAACUUCAGGAAACUGGGGCUAAUACCGGAUAGGAGCUCCUGCUUCAUGGGGGGGGUUGGAAAGUUUCGGCGGUUGGGGAUGGACUCGCGGCUUAUCAGCUUGUUGGUGGGGUAGUGGCUUACCAAGGCUUUGACGGGUAGCCGGCCUGAGAGGGUGACCGGCCACAUUGGGACUGAGAUACGGCCCAGACUCCUACGGGAGGCAGCAGUGGGGAAUAUUGCACAAUGGGCGGAAGCCUGAUGCAGCAACGCCGCGUGCGGGAUGACGGCCUUCGGGUUGUAAACCGCUUUCGCCUGUGACGAAGCGUGAGUGACGGUAAUGGGUAAAGAAGCACCGGCUAACUACGUG
This 468-nucleotide ribosomal RNA is filed under the name uncultured bacterium. Its description in RNAcentral is "partial 16S ribosomal RNA". It matches the Rfam family "Bacterial small subunit ribosomal RNA", at positions 28 to 507 of the family's 1533-position model. The record is from RNAcentral.